ACCAGGAUGGCAUAGUGGUUUGAGUGUUGGACUGCAACUCUGGAGACCAGGGUUCGAAUCCUGGCCCAGUCAUGGAA
RNAcentral lists this transfer RNA (77 nucleotides) under Phrynosoma platyrhinos (Desert horned lizard). RNAcentral's name for it is "tRNA-OTHER". Lineage: Eukaryota; Metazoa; Chordata; Lepidosauria; Squamata; Phrynosomatidae. The record is from RNAcentral.